RNAcentral lists this ribosomal RNA (253 nucleotides) under uncultured bacterium. RNAcentral describes it as "partial 16S ribosomal RNA". It matches the Rfam family "Bacterial small subunit ribosomal RNA", at positions 524 to 776 of the family's 1533-position model. The record is from RNAcentral.
UACGUAGGCAGCGAGCGUUGUUCGGAGUUACUGGGCGUAAAGAGUGCGUAGGCGGUUUUCUAAGUUUGGUGUGAAAUCUCCCGGCUUAACUGGGAGGGUGCGCCGAAGACUGGAAGGCUAGAGUAUGGGAGAGGUAAGCGGAAUUCCUGGUGUAGCGGUGAAAUGCGUAGAUAUCAGGAGGAACACCUGCAGUGUAGACGGCUUACUGGACCAUAACUGACGCUGAGGCACGAAAGCGUGGGUAGCAAACAGG